Molecule: long non-coding RNA, 1716 nt
Filed under: Sus scrofa (pig)
Lineage: Eukaryota; Metazoa; Chordata; Mammalia; Artiodactyla; Suidae
Description: lncRNA (ENSSSCG00050068788.1)
Source: RNAcentral
GGGGGCGGUGUCCUGGGGGCGCAGCGAGCUGGGGGAAUGGGGGCCCCGGGGAUGUGGCCUGGUCUAGAGGUGGGUCUGGUCCCAGGCGGAUGGUGGGUCUGGUUGGGCACGGGAACCUAGUCCUGGCGGGGUGCGGGGUGGGGUGUUGUUGAGGAUAGGCCGGGUUCUGGGCCGGGGGAUGGUCCGGUCUGGGAGUUAUGGGGGCCCGGCCCGGGGAGGGGUAGGGGUGAGGUGGGCUGGGUCCUGGAGGGUGGGCCCGCCCCGCAGCCCGGCCCCGCCCCACCCGACCCCACUAGCCGCGUCCGGUCCUUGCAGGAGCCGCAGCUCGAGUCCGUCCGCUCUGCGGGCCAGCUGAGGAGGGGCGCGCACGGACGCAGGGACGCACGGACGCUGAAGCCCGCCCCGGAGCAUGUGGAAGCUGGGCAGGAGCCGGGUGCUUCUGGAUGAGCCCCCCGAGGAGGAAGAGGGCCUGCCAGGAGGGCCGCCGUCGGCUGCUGCCCCCGCUGCCGCCGCGGCGCAGAUCAGUGUACAGAAUACUGUCUUCAGAGCAGCCAAGUGAAGCAUUAACUGUUUCUCUACUUAACCUGCGGGGUUUCUGUGGUGUAUUGUCGAGAGCCAUCCUGUCAGCGAGAUGGACGCCAGCGAGGGAGCCACUUCUGUCCAGGUAUCGUCUGUACAGACGGCCUUCCGCCCUCCUGGCCAUCCCCAAAGCUUGAUGCUCCAGUGGAGUGACUGGUGUGUCCCUUGUGUUGGGCCGAGGGAACCACAGGAACUGUCUUUGUGAUCAGGGGUGGCACUUCUUUCCUCCAAGGCCGUUGGCCAUGACUGCAUGGCAUGUCAUGUCCUAUCUGACUCUCCCUGGAGCCGGGAGCUGACGGAGCCAAGGGUUUGGCCUCACAGUUUGACUGGAAGCCUGGGCUGGGUCCAUGAAGUCACUUUCCUCUAGGAUUACCAGUUUCCCAGUAAUUCACUGUGUAAACAGAAGGUUAUUGUGACUUCUAAAAUCUAGAAUGGUUAGAAAGAAAAUUAGGCUUUUUUAUGACAUUGUCAUUGAAACCUUAGCCUGGCCAUGACUCACUGCAGUUUUCCUUGGAGGCCCUAGACCAGCCUGUUCCCUGUGGGGUCCCAGGGCAUGCCCACUCCUCCUGGGGGCUGGGAAGUAAGGCCCUACAGGGACAUCAUCCUCAGGCAGGGUGGUGGCUGUGGUGACGCCAAGGAGAGGCUGGCACAGUGUACAACCUGAGUACUUUUUACUCUGAAGAAGCUGCCAGACACAUUUAAGCCCUCCUUAAUGAAUGAGUGACGGUCCUACAGGGCAACUCUGGAGUUAGGAUCUGUGCACUUUGACCUCUUUGAUCCACAUAAGAAGAUGCACUAUCAUGUGGGUGACUAUAGGGGACAGGGCUGCAGUGACAGUGGCUCAUAUCUCCUGCCUAGUGUAGGUGACCACUGUGGGGUGACAGCAGUGCUUUCCUGAUAAAAUGCUGGGAUACCUGACCCAAGGAAGAUUAACGUGCUUCUCCUGUUUGAACGUAAGUACCUCUUACCAAAGCAGUCACGUUCCAUGGGAUCUGGGCUGGUACCCUUGGGCCUUGUGGUCUCCACAGAACUGACCCUUGCAUUUGUUCCUGAUUUUCAGAGAUAUUUUGGCAUAUUUCCUUUGCUCCCAUCAUUUAAAUGGUGUAUCUCGUUUAUUAGCAUUGAGUUUUGCUCUUA